RNAcentral lists this RNase P RNA (363 nucleotides) under Alistipes sp. RNAcentral's name for it is "RNase P RNA component class A". It matches the Rfam family "Bacterial RNase P class A". Rfam says of the family: Ribonuclease P (RNase P) is a ubiquitous endoribonuclease, found in archaea, bacteria and eukarya as well as chloroplasts and mitochondria. Its best characterised activity is the generation of mature 5'-ends of tRNAs by cleaving the 5'-leader elements of precursor-tRNAs. The record is from RNAcentral. Lineage: Bacteria; Pseudomonadati; Bacteroidota; Bacteroidia; Bacteroidales; Rikenellaceae.
CCGCAUAUGCGCCUUGUCGCUGCCACCUUCGGGUGGGGGAGGAAAGUCCGAGCAACGAAGAGCGCCACGCAAGUUAACGGCUUGAUGUUCGUGAGGGCAUAGUAGUGUAACAGAGAACGACCGCCACACCUUCGGGUGAGGUAAGGGUGAAAAGGUGGGGUAAGAGCCCACCGCGAGGGUAGCAAUACGCCUCGGUCAGUACGCCUCGUGGGUUGCAAGACCAUGUAUACCGACAAUUAAGGGUUGCUCGCCCAAUGUCGGGGGGUAGGUUGCUAGAGGCGGCAAGUGAUUGUCGUCGUAGAUAAAUGACAAGGGACCAACGCUUGUUGGUUACAGAACUCGGCUUAUAGCGUAUGCCACUAA